RNAcentral lists this ribosomal RNA (1682 nucleotides) under Rhyacichthys aspro (loach goby). RNAcentral's name for it is "16S rRNA". It matches the Rfam family "Bacterial large subunit ribosomal RNA". Lineage: Eukaryota; Metazoa; Chordata; Actinopteri; Gobiiformes; Rhyacichthyidae. The record is from RNAcentral.
CACCCCAACAGCUAGCCCCCCCCCCUUAAAACAACAACCCAACAUCAAUAACCCCUAACACCGAACCCAACACAAAACAAACCAUUUUUCCCCCUUAGUAUGGGCGACAGAAAAGGAAACAGGAGCAAUAGAAAAAGUACCGCAAGGGAAAGCUGAAAGAGAAAUGAAACAACCAACUGAAGGAGAAAAAAGCAGAGAUUAAUACUCGUACCUUUUGCAUCAUGACUUAGCCAGCAAACCACAAGCAAAGAGCGCUUUAGUUUGGGACCCCGAAACUAAGUGAGCUACUCCAAGACAGCCUAACAUAGGGCAAACCCGUCUCUGUGGCAAAAGAGUGGGAAGAGCUUUGAGUAGAGGUGACAGACCUACCGAACUUAGUUAUAGCUGGUUGCCUAAGAACUGAAUAGAAGUUCAGCCUUUUGAUUUCUUUAGCCAAACAAGGCGACGCCCUACCCAGACCACGAGAAUUAAUCAAAAGAGUUAGUCGAGGGGGGUACAGCCCCCUCGAAAAAAGAUACAACUUUACCAUGGAGGAAAAAGAUCAAAGCACCUCAGGCAUUAUGUUUUAGUGGGCCUAAAAGCAGCCACCCUAAUAGAAAGCGUUAAAGCUCAAACAUAUCCCUCUGCCCCUUAUCCCGACAAGCACAUCUUAAACCCCUUAUUUUAUUAGGCCUUUCCAUGCCCACAUGGAAGAGACCAUGCUAACAUGAGUAAUAAGAGGGACUAGUCCCUCUCCCAGCACCUGUGUACAUCAGAACGAACCCCCACUGAAAAUUAACGCCCCCAAUCAAAGAGGGCCUUGAGCCGAAGCAGACUAAAACUAGAAGAUCGCUCAACAAAAAGCGUUAGCCCCACACAGGAGUGCCUCCAGGAAAGACUAAAGGAAAAGAAGGAACUCGGCAAACAUUAGCCUCGCCUGUUUACCAAAAACAUCGCCUCUUGCAACAACACAAUAUAAGAGGUCCCGCCUGCCCUGUGACGUAAGUUUAACGGCCGCGGUAUUUUGACCGUGCGAAGGUAGCGCAAUCACUUGUCUUUUAAAUGAAGACCUGUAUGAAUGGCAUAACGAGGGCUAAGCUGUCUCCCUUUCCCGGUCAAUGAAAUUGAUCUCCCCGUGCAGAAGCGGGGAUAAACUCGUAAGACGAGAAGACCCUAUGGAGCUUCAGACACCAGGACAGACCAUGUUAAAACCCCUAAAACAAAAGACUAAACCAAAUGACUCCUGUCCCCCUGUCUUUGGUUGGGGCGACCGCGGGGAAACAAAAAACCCCCACGUGGAACAGGGAUACCCCCCUUAAAACCAGAGCCACAGCUCUAACAAGCAGAACUUCUGACCAACAAGAUCCGGCAACGCCGAUCAACGGACCGAGUUACCCUAGGGAUAACAGCGCAAUCCCCUUUUAGAGCCCAUAUCGACAAGGGGGUUUACGACCUCGAUGUUGGAUCAGGACAUCCUAAUGGUGCAGCCGCUAUUAAGGGUUCGUUUGUUCAACGAUUAAAGUCCUACGUGAUCUGAGUUCAGACCGGAGAAAUCCAGGUCAGUUUCUAUCUACGAAAUGUUCUUUUCUAGUACGAAAGGACCGAAAAGAAGAGGCCCCUGCUAAAAGCAAGCCCCCUCCUGACCUGAUGAAGUCAACUAAAACAGGCAAAAGGACAUGACCCCCCGCCUAAGAGAAAGGCAU